This 253-nucleotide ribosomal RNA is filed under the name uncultured bacterium. RNAcentral's name for it is "partial 16S ribosomal RNA". It matches the Rfam family "Bacterial small subunit ribosomal RNA", at positions 524 to 776 of the family's 1533-position model. The record is from RNAcentral.
UACGUAGGGGGCGAGCGUUGUCCGGAGUUACUGGGCGUAAAGCGCACGCAGGCGGUCUGCUAAGUUUGGAGUGACAGUUGGUGGCUUAACUGCCAAAGUGCUUCGAAAACUGACAGACUUGAGGGCUUCAGAGGGACACGGAAUUCCGGGUGUAGCGGUGGAAUGCGUAGAGAUCCGGAAGAACACCGGUGGCGAAGGCGGCCCGCUGGGCAACUGCUGACACUGAGGCGCGACAGCGUGGGGAGCAAACAGG